Molecule: long non-coding RNA, 1522 nt
Filed under: Medicago truncatula (barrel medic)
Lineage: Eukaryota; Viridiplantae; Streptophyta; Magnoliopsida; Fabales; Fabaceae
Description: long non-coding RNA (MTRU_LNC007598)
Source: RNAcentral
UACUAAAGGCAUUUCAAAGUCACUUGCUUGCAUAAUUGGUAAAAUAAUUCAAAAUCAAGUUUGAAAUCUCUAAUCCUUACUAUGAACAUUUUCUUUUAUAUUUUGAGUAAUAUAUGUUAAGUGAACCUUUACUAACUAUAAGCUUUAGGGCUCAACUUGAAGCAACCUUAAUAAAUUUAUUUUGGAAACAAAACGAAUAGACUGCAAAAAUGCACUGCACCUUCAUAUGUCAAUGUUGUUCUUGGCUAAAAAACCAAUAUCAAAGGAAACUGCAGCAGGGCAACAAAACGCACAAAACAACCUCAACAGUGAUUAAAGAAGCGAAGCUGAACUGAUAACCCUGCAAAACAAAACUGCAGUUGCAUAAACAUAGACGGAAAACAAAUCCAGCAGAAAACAUUCACAUCGUGCACAACACAGCUGCAGAAAACAACAUGGAAGGCAGCCAACAAUAAAAAAAUAGAAAUAGACUUGCAGCCGAAACAUAAAAGUACAAAAAUGCAUCAGCACUCAAACAAAAAUUAGUUGCUCCAAAACCCUGAACUAAACUCAGCUCCUUCCCGUAUUCUUAUUAUAAUCCUUACUGAUUAACAUUUUCUUUUAUAUUUUGAGUACUAUAUGCUAACUGAACCUUUACUAACUAUAAACUUUAGGGCUCAACUUGAAGGAACCUUAUUAAAUUUAUUUUAGAAACAAAAAGAAUAGACUGCAAAAAUGUAGUGCUCCUUCCUAUGUCAUUGUUGUUCUAAGCUAAAAAUCAAUUUUAAAACAACUGAUAAAACCUAAUUUUAGUAAUUGUUUUCCUCCUUGAUAAACCUCUUAUUCCUCUUUUACCGGUGCAUCCACAUUAUGCUGUAAAAAAAAUUAGCACAAUAUGUAGGUUUUAGAAUUUUUUAGAAUAAAAGAAAGGAACAAUAAACCUUCAAUAGGUGCCGCCGGCGGCCGCUUUGAGCACUUCGAAAGAGAAAAACAGGAAGGAAUAAAAGAAUUACCAUGUUUUUCCAACAAUUUUGACGGAUGAGAUCGGUGCCAAAUUUGAUUAAGAAUUUGGCGACAUCGAUUCAACAGUGGAGAGAAGUAAUAAAGAACAAACAAUAAACAAACUAAGGACAUAUUAGAGGUUGUCUGAGGCAUGAUUCCAAAUCACAAUAUAAGAAUUUGAAGAAUCUCUAGUCACAUCACAUGGAAGAAAGGAAUGUGAUUACCAUCGCCAAGUUGUGUUUCAUCAUCAUCCUCAACAUUUUCAAAUGUAUUAAGUCCCAACGAUUUCGAAAUUUGAGCACUCACUGCAGCCAAAACACACAAAUCACAAUAUAGGUCAAAUUAUAGGUGAAAGUUCAUCAAAACAUUAUAUCAAACAGAUGGGGGAGGCAAAAGUAAGUGGAAAAACUGAUUCACAAAGCCUACCAUAUAAGAAACAGAUGCACAUUCCAGUUUGGUUUUGUUCAACUUCAGAUAAUAACAAUUGAAAGCAUAACAUGUAUUUUUAAGAUGUAAAUAAAUCAUAUUAAUAGGUUCAUAC